CCUACGGGUGGCAGCAGUGGGGAAUAUUGGACAAUGGGGGGAACCCUGAUCCAGCCAUGCCGCGUGUGUGAAGAAGGCCCUCGGGUUGUAAAGCACUUUCAGUGAGGAAGAACGCCUGGUGGUUAAUACCCAUCAGGAAAGACAUCACUCACAGAAGAAGCACCGGCUAACUCCGUGCCAGCAGCCGCGGUAAUACGGAGGGUGCGAGCGUUAAUCGGAAUUACUGGGCGUAAAGCGCGCGUAGGUGGCUUGAUAAGCCGGUUGUGAAAGCCCCGGGCUCAACCUGGGAACGGCAUCCGGAACUGUCAAGCUAGAGUGCGGGAGAGGAAGGUAGAAUUCCCGGUGUAGCGGUGAAAUGCGUAGAGAUCGGGAGGAAUACCAGUGGCGAAGGCGGCCUUCUGGACUGACACUGACACUGAGGUGCGAAAGCGUGGGUAGCAAACAGGAUUAGAUACCCGUGUAGUC
RNAcentral lists this ribosomal RNA (465 nucleotides) under Vreelandella stevensii. RNAcentral's name for it is "partial 16S ribosomal RNA". It matches the Rfam family "Bacterial small subunit ribosomal RNA", at positions 338 to 795 of the family's 1533-position model. The record is from RNAcentral. Lineage: Bacteria; Pseudomonadati; Pseudomonadota; Gammaproteobacteria; Oceanospirillales; Halomonadaceae.